Molecule: ribosomal RNA, 2904 nt
Filed under: Escherichia coli
Lineage: Bacteria; Pseudomonadati; Pseudomonadota; Gammaproteobacteria; Enterobacterales; Enterobacteriaceae
Description: 23S ribosomal RNA
Rfam family: Bacterial large subunit ribosomal RNA
Source: RNAcentral
GGUUAAGCGACUAAGCGUACACGGUGGAUGCCCUGGCAGUCAGAGGCGAUGAAGGACGUGCUAAUCUGCGAUAAGCGUCGGUAAGGUGAUAUGAACCGUUAUAACCGGCGAUUUCCGAAUGGGGAAACCCAGUGUGUUUCGACACACUAUCAUUAACUGAAUCCAUAGGUUAAUGAGGCGAACCGGGGGAACUGAAACAUCUAAGUACCCCGAGGAAAAGAAAUCAACCGAGAUUCCCCCAGUAGCGGCGAGCGAACGGGGAGCAGCCCAGAGCCUGAAUCAGUGUGUGUGUUAGUGGAAGCGUCUGGAAAGGCGCGCGAUACAGGGUGACAGCCCCGUACACAAAAAUGCACAUGCUGUGAGCUCGAUGAGUAGGGCGGGACACGUGGUAUCCUGUCUGAAUAUGGGGGGACCAUCCUCCAAGGCUAAAUACUCCUGACUGACCGAUAGUGAACCAGUACCGUGAGGGAAAGGCGAAAAGAACCCCGGCGAGGGGAGUGAAAAAGAACCUGAAACCGUGUACGUACAAGCAGUGGGAGCCUCUUUUAUGGGGUGACUGCGUACCUUUUGUAUAAUGGGUCAGCGACUUAUAUUCUGUAGCAAGGUUAACCGAAUAGGGGAGCCGAAGGGAAACCGAGUCUUAACUGGGCGUUAAGUUGCAGGGUAUAGACCCGAAACCCGGUGAUCUAGCCAUGGGCAGGUUGAAGGUUGGGUAACACUAACUGGAGGACCGAACCGACUAAUGUUGAAAAAUUAGCGGAUGACUUGUGGCUGGGGGUGAAAGGCCAAUCAAACCGGGAGAUAGCUGGUUCUCCCCGAAAGCUAUUUAGGUAGCGCCUCGUGAAUUCAUCUCCGGGGGUAGAGCACUGUUUCGGCAAGGGGGUCAUCCCGACUUACCAACCCGAUGCAAACUGCGAAUACCGGAGAAUGUUAUCACGGGAGACACACGGCGGGUGCUAACGUCCGUCGUGAAGAGGGAAACAACCCAGACCGCCAGCUAAGGUCCCAAAGUCAUGGUUAAGUGGGAAACGAUGUGGGAAGGCCCAGACAGCCAGGAUGUUGGCUUAGAAGCAGCCAUCAUUUAAAGAAAGCGUAAUAGCUCACUGGUCGAGUCGGCCUGCGCGGAAGAUGUAACGGGGCUAAACCAUGCACCGAAGCUGCGGCAGCGACGCUGAUGCGUUGUUGGGUAGGGGAGCGUUCUGUAAGCCUGCGAAGGUGUGCUGUGAGGCAUGCUGGAGGUAUCAGAAGUGCGAAUGCUGACAUAAGUAACGAUAAAGCGGGUGAAAAGCCCGCUCGCCGGAAGACCAAGGGUUCCUGUCCAACGUUAAUCGGGGCAGGGUGAGUCGACCCCUAAGGCGAGGCCGAAAGGCGUAGUCGAUGGGAAACAGGUUAAUAUUCCUGUACUUGGUGUUACUGCGAAGGGGGGACGGAGAAGGCUAUGUUGGCCGGGCGACGGUUGUCCCGGUUUAAGCGUGUAGGCUGGUUUUCCAGGCAAAUCCGGAAAAUCAAGGCUGAGGCGUGAUGACGAGGCACUACGGUGCUGAAGCAACAAAUGCCCUGCUUCCAGGAAAAGCCUCUAAGCAUCAGGUAACAUCAAAUCGUACCCCAAACCGACACAGGUGGUCAGGUAGAGAAUACCAAGGCGCUUGAGAGAACUCGGGUGAAGGAACUAGGCAAAAUGGUGCCGUAACUUCGGGAGAAGGCACGCUGAUAUGUAGGUGAAGUCCCUCGCGGAUGGAGCUGAAAUCAGUCGAAGAUACCAGCUGGCUGCAACUGUUUAUUAAAAACACAGCACUGUGCAAACACGAAAGUGGACGUAUACGGUGUGACGCCUGCCCGGUGCCGGAAGGUUAAUUGAUGGGGUCAGCGCAAGCGAAGCUCUUGAUCGAAGCCCCGGUAAACGGCGGCCGUAACUAUAACGGUCCUAAGGUAGCGAAAUUCCUUGUCGGGUAAGUUCCGACCUGCACGAAUGGCGUAAUGAUGGCCAGGCUGUCUCCACCCGAGACUCAGUGAAAUUGAACUCGCUGUGAAGAUGCAGUGUACCCGCGGCAAGACGGAAAGACCCCGUGAACCUUUACUAUAGCUUGACACUGAACAUUGAGCCUUGAUGUGUAGGAUAGGUGGGAGGCUUUGAAGUGUGGACGCCAGUCUGCAUGGAGCCGACCUUGAAAUACCACCCUUUAAUGUUUGAUGUUCUAACGUUGACCCGUAAUCCGGGUUGCGGACAGUGUCUGGUGGGUAGUUUGACUGGGGCGGUCUCCUCCUAAAGAGUAACGGAGGAGCACGAAGGUUGGCUAAUCCUGGUCGGACAUCAGGAGGUUAGUGCAAUGGCAUAAGCCAGCUUGACUGCGAGCGUGACGGCGCGAGCAGGUGCGAAAGCAGGUCAUAGUGAUCCGGUGGUUCUGAAUGGAAGGGCCAUCGCUCAACGGAUAAAAGGUACUCCGGGGAUAACAGGCUGAUACCGCCCAAGAGUUCAUAUCGACGGCGGUGUUUGGCACCUCGAUGUCGGCUCAUCACAUCCUGGGGCUGAAGUAGGUCCCAAGGGUAUGGCUGUUCGCCAUUUAAAGUGGUACGCGAGCUGGGUUUAGAACGUCGUGAGACAGUUCGGUCCCUAUCUGCCGUGGGCGCUGGAGAACUGAGGGGGGCUGCUCCUAGUACGAGAGGACCGGAGUGGACGCAUCACUGGUGUUCGGGUUGUCAUGCCAAUGGCACUGCCCGGUAGCUAAAUGCGGAAGAGAUAAGUGCUGAAAGCAUCUAAGCACGAAACUUGCCCCGAGAUGAGUUCUCCCUGACUCCUUGAGAGUCCUGAAGGAACGUUGAAGACGACGACGUUGAUAGGCCGGGUGUGUAAGCGCAGCGAUGCGUUGAGCUAACCGGUACUAAUGAACCGUGAGGCUUAACCUU